Schistosoma rodhaini is the source of this 48-nucleotide non-coding RNA. Lineage: Eukaryota; Metazoa; Platyhelminthes; Trematoda; Strigeidida; Schistosomatidae. The record is from Rfam.
AUCCAGCUGACAAGUCCCAAAUAGGACGAAACGCGCGUUAAAUUGGAU